RNAcentral lists this ribosomal RNA (387 nucleotides) under Anthracothecium prasinum. RNAcentral describes it as "partial small subunit ribosomal RNA". Lineage: Eukaryota; Fungi; Ascomycota; Eurotiomycetes; Pyrenulales; Pyrenulaceae. The record is from RNAcentral.
UAUUUGUGAUCCUUCUGAGGGUACAUUUGCCGAAACCUUAGUUAAAACCCUCUAUCCGUGAUGGGGUUGACCGCGCGACUCUAAAUAAGGAUGGUCGCCUGGACUUGGAACCGGUGGACGGUCCAGCCCAGGAUGCUAGCCAGCGGUAACCGCUGGUGACACCUUUAGUCUGCGGGAACAUUCGUAGAACAACCUGCAGCCGUGUCUUCUUUCCCACCGUUAAACAACAGGGGAUGAACCGACCGGCACACAGACUAGAUAACGGUGGACGUCACACCGAUAUUGUGACGUUUCAGACAUAGUCGCGCUCCCUGGAAAUGUCUCCGGGGACAAUCGCUCCGGCGAUGAGACCAACGUUCCGUAGGUGAACCUGCGGAAGGAUCAUUA